GUAGCAGGUCUUGUAAAUUUUUUGUGAAUCUGUUGCGCUCAACGCAACACACUGCAGAAAAGACUGCAAGACUUGGGAUUGGGAGGAGUAAGCAGUAUUCUCGGGGGAGCGGUAAAAUGUUAUAAUCCCGAGAGGACUACCUGUGCCGAAGGGGGCUUACUAGAACAAAUUCGGACUGUGAGGGACGAAAGCUAGGGGAGCGAAAAGGAUUAGAUACCCUUGUAGUCCUAGCCGUAAACACUGUGAACUAAAUUCGACGUAAACCUAGUGUUUGCGCUGAAUUGAA
RNAcentral lists this ribosomal RNA (286 nucleotides) under uncultured archaeon SYA_2000_44. RNAcentral describes it as "partial 16S ribosomal RNA". It matches the Rfam family "Archaeal small subunit ribosomal RNA", at positions 521 to 805 of the family's 1478-position model. The record is from RNAcentral.